RNAcentral lists this ribosomal RNA (253 nucleotides) under uncultured bacterium. Its description in RNAcentral is "partial 16S ribosomal RNA". It matches the Rfam family "Bacterial small subunit ribosomal RNA", at positions 524 to 776 of the family's 1533-position model. The record is from RNAcentral.
UGCGUAGGGGGCAAGCGUUGUCCGGAUUUAUUGGGCGUAAAGCGCGUGUAGGCGGUUUGGUAGGUCCGCUGUGAAAACUCGAGGCUCAACCUCGAGACGCCGGUGGAAACCAUCAGACUAGAGUCCGGAAGAGGAGAGUGGAAUUCCUGGUGUAGCGGUGAAAUGCGCAGAUAUCAGGAAGAACACCCGUGGCUAAGGCGGCUCUCUAGUACGGUACUGACGCUGAGACGCGAAAGCGUGGGGAGCGAACAGG